UCUUUACAAGAAAUAUAUUUUAUGUUUUAGCUUAUAAGUAUAUAAGAAAUAAAAAUAUAAGUUUGUUGCGCUGGGGCGGCGUAGAUAUAUAAAUAAACUGUCUAUAGUUUAAAUACAAUAAUUAUUGCUUAAUACAAAUUGAUCCUUAAAUAGAUUAAAAGAUUAAGAU
Molecule: ribosomal RNA, 169 nt
Filed under: Paralomis verrilli
Lineage: Eukaryota; Metazoa; Arthropoda; Malacostraca; Decapoda; Lithodidae
Description: partial 16S rRNA
Source: RNAcentral